CUGAAUUUUUUAUAGACAUUAUCAUCGAGCAUGAGUAUGUUGAGUGCACUGCAUCAGCCAUUCAGGCUCUAGUUUUGUUUAAGAAGUUAUACCCGGGACACAGGAACAAGGAGAUAGACAAUUUCAUCACAAAUGCUGCUAAGUACAUUGAAGACAUGCAAAUGCUUGAUGGCUCAUGGUAUGGCAAUUGGGGAGUAUGUUUCACCUAUGGCUCAUGGUUUGCACUUGGGGGCCUAGCAGCUGCUGGCAAGACUUACCACAACUGUCUUGCUAUUGGUAGAGUUGUUGAGUUUCUACUCAAAUCACAAAGAGAUGA
Vitis riparia (riverbank grape) is the source of this 316-nucleotide long non-coding RNA. RefSeq lists it as uncharacterized. The transcript has 3 exons. The record is from RefSeq and is a predicted model, not a curated record. NCBI's taxonomy places the organism in Eukaryota, Viridiplantae, Streptophyta, Magnoliopsida, Vitales, Vitaceae.